Molecule: ribosomal RNA, 465 nt
Filed under: uncultured Klebsiella sp.
Lineage: Bacteria; Pseudomonadati; Pseudomonadota; Gammaproteobacteria; Enterobacterales; Enterobacteriaceae
Description: bacterial SSU rRNA
Rfam family: Bacterial small subunit ribosomal RNA
Source: RNAcentral
CCUACGGGUGGCUGCAGUGGGGAAUAUUGCACAAUGGGCGCAAGCCUGAUGCAGCCAUGCCGCGUGUGUGAAGAAGGCCUUCGGGUUGUAAAGCACUUUCAGCGGGGAGGAAGGCGUUAAGGUUAAUAACCUUGGCGAUUGACGUUACCCGCAGAAGAAGCACCGGCUAACUCCGUGCCAGCAGCCGCGGUAAUACGGAGGGUGCAAGCGUUAAUCGGAAUUACUGGGCGUAAAGCGCACGCAGGCGGUCUGUCAAGUCGGAUGUGAAAUCCCCGGGCUCAACCUGGGAACUGCAUUCGAAACUGGCAGGCUAGAGUAUUGUAGAGGGUGGUAGAAUUCCAGGUGUAGCGGUGAAAUGCGUAGAGAUCUGGAGGAAUACCGGUGGCGAAGGCGGCCCCCUGGACAAAGACUGACGCUCAGGUGCGAAAGCGUGGGGAGCAAACAGGAUUAGAUACCCGAGUAGUC